This 498-nucleotide ribosomal RNA is filed under the name uncultured bacterium. RNAcentral's name for it is "partial 16S ribosomal RNA". It matches the Rfam family "Bacterial small subunit ribosomal RNA", at positions 28 to 507 of the family's 1533-position model. The record is from RNAcentral.
GACGAACGCUGGCGGCGUGCCUAAUACAUGCAAGUCGAGCGGACGAAUCGAAAGCUUGCUUUUGAUUCGUUAGCGGCGGACGGGUGAGUAGCACGUGGGCAACCUGCCCUGUAGACGGGGAUAACACCGAGAAAUCGGUGCUAAUACCGGAUAACACGAAAUGUCGCAUGACGUUUCGUUGAAAGACGGCGCAAGCUGUCGCUACAGGAUGGGCCCGCGGCGCAUUAGCUAGUUGGUGAGGUAACGGCUCACCAAGGCGACGAUGCGUAGCCGACCUGAGAGGGUGAUCGGCCACACUGGGACUGAGACACGGCCCAGACUCCUACGGGAGGCAGCAGUAGGGAAUCUUCCGCAAAGGACGAAAGUCUGACGGAGCAACGCCGCGUGAGCGAAGAAGGCCUUCGGGUCGUAAAGCUCUGUUGUUAGGGAAGAACAAGUAACGCAGUAACUGGCGUUACCGUGACGGUACCUAACGAGAAAGCCACGGCUAACUACGUG